AUCAUAAAGAAACAGAAUUUAUCUUAUGGGGAAAAUGGUAAGAAGAAUUUCAGAGCCGAAAAUCUUGAACACGCUAAUGAAGUUACAGAAUCUGGCUUAAAAACACAAUAUACAGGUCUCUCAUAAAGAGAAAACUAAAGCACAAUAAUCGCAUUCCAAAAUCCUCAAAAUCUUGAUGAAUAUAACCCAUCUGACGAAAAUUAGUAUCCAUUCCUUGAAAAAAAAAACAAAAAAACAAAAAAACAAAAAAAAAAAGAAGCGAACCGAUUGAAAAAACUGUUCUCUUUUUAAGAGAACUGCUGCAAGAUACGAAUCUCUGAUUUCAUUACCUGUUCAAAAAAAUUGGAAAUGGAAAAAAUGAUAUAAAAGCUUGAACCCAGACACUGAAUCGAGAAAAUUAAAUGCAUCGUCCUCAUAAAUGGAAUUUCUAAUUUUCUUAAGAAGAAAACAAAAUAAAGCAAAGGGAAACCGCUACCAGUUGAUAAAACAUAAGAUCUCAACCCCAACGAAGAAUUUAAUUUCUCAAAAAUUAAAAUAAAAAAGGAAUUGAUAUACGUAUACACGUACUUCGUAUGUGCAGUGUACAUAAAGAACAGAGAUUUACCUAUCCGCAGAUUUGAAGGCCGUGUGUGAGACAGAGAGUGAGACGGAGAGAUUUACGAACUUUUUUCCGUUCGAACCUGCGUUUCAUGUAACUUUGUUGGUGAGAUCGCUAUUCUUUUAAAAGAAUAAAUUACAUUUGACAAAUGUUUUAAAG
This 757-nucleotide long non-coding RNA is filed under the name Olea europaea (common olive). RNAcentral describes it as "long non-coding RNA (OEUR_LNC008677)". Lineage: Eukaryota; Viridiplantae; Streptophyta; Magnoliopsida; Lamiales; Oleaceae. The record is from RNAcentral.